RNAcentral lists this ribosomal RNA (122 nucleotides) under Oncorhynchus kisutch (coho salmon). Lineage: Eukaryota; Metazoa; Chordata; Actinopteri; Salmoniformes; Salmonidae. The record is from RNAcentral.
GCUUACUGACCACACCGGCCUGAGUACGCCUGAUCUCGUCUUGAUCUCCGAAACUAAGUAGGGUCGGGCCAUGGUUAGUACUUGGAUGGGAGACCGCCUGGGAAUACCAGGUGCUGUAAGCU